AAAGCGCACGCAGGCGGUCUGUUAAGUCAGAUGUGAAAUCCCCGGGCUUAACCUGGGAACUGCAUUUGAAACUGGCAGGCUUGAGUCUUGUAGAGGGGGGUAGAAUUCCAGGUGUAGCGGUGAAAUGCGUAGAGAUCUGGAGGAAUACCGGUGGCGAAGGCGGCCCCCUGGACAAAGACUGACGCUCAGGUGCGAAAGAGUGGGGAGCAAACAGGAUUAGAUACCCCGGU
This 230-nucleotide ribosomal RNA is filed under the name uncultured bacterium. RNAcentral's name for it is "partial 16S ribosomal RNA". It matches the Rfam family "Bacterial small subunit ribosomal RNA", at positions 562 to 791 of the family's 1533-position model. The record is from RNAcentral.